Molecule: transfer RNA, 72 nt
Filed under: Perca flavescens (yellow perch)
Lineage: Eukaryota; Metazoa; Chordata; Actinopteri; Perciformes; Percidae
Description: tRNA-Thr
Source: RNAcentral
AGCAGAGUGGCGCAGUGUAACAGUGCCUUGCCAGUGACCAGAAGGUCAAUGGAUCAAAACCAUCCUCUGCUA